This 71-nucleotide transfer RNA is filed under the name Ictidomys tridecemlineatus (thirteen-lined ground squirrel). Its description in RNAcentral is "Spermophilus tridecemlineatus (thirteen-lined ground squirrel) tRNA". It matches the Rfam family "tRNA". Rfam says of the family: Transfer RNA (tRNA) molecules are approximately 80 nucleotides in length. Their secondary structure includes four short double-helical elements and three loops (D, anti-codon, and T loops). Further hydrogen bonds mediate the characteristic L-shaped molecular structure. tRNAs have two regions of fundamental functional importance: the anti-codon, which is responsible for specific mRNA codon recognition, and the 3' end, to which the tRNAs corresponding amino acid is attached (by aminoacyl-tRNA synthetases). tRNAs cope with the degeneracy of the genetic code in two manners: having more than one tRNA (with a specific anti-codon) for a particular amino acid; and 'wobble' base-pairing, i.e. permitting non-standard base-pairing at the 3rd anti-codon position. Lineage: Eukaryota; Metazoa; Chordata; Mammalia; Rodentia; Sciuridae. The record is from Rfam by way of RNAcentral.
UGGGUUGUGGCUCAGUGGUAGAGCACUUGUCUAGUAUGCUUGAGGCACUGAGUUCGUUCCCAGCACCACAU